GUGCUCGCUACGGCAGCACAUAAACUAAAAUUGAAACGAUACAGAGAAAAUUAGCAUGGCCCCUGCGCAUUGUCCUACCUUGUCAUGUGCAUCUGGUGAGUUUG
Small nuclear RNA from Elgaria multicarinata webbii, 104 nucleotides. NCBI's taxonomy places the organism in Eukaryota, Metazoa, Chordata, Lepidosauria, Squamata, Anguidae. The record is from RefSeq and is a predicted model, not a curated record.